CCUCUGUCUCUCUCUUUAUUUCCAGCCUCUCUCUCUCUCUCUCUUUUUCUCUUCUCUUCACGUAUGGUGGAUCUCUCUCAUCACCCAUAAUCUUCUUGAAGGUGUUGUAGUACAGAGAAAGAGAUGGGUGUUGUUUUCACCACCCAUAAUCUUCUUCAACAUCAGUCUGCUGCCAUAGCAACUCCGCGACUGUCCCCCACCAUUGAAGAGGAAGAUCAGCAAACAGCAAAAACCCAAUGCAACAUUGACACCCACCCUCGCUCUUCGCUACCGACGCUGAAUUCCCUAAAUCAGAGGAUGGAGAAAUUGGGGCAUCAGAGGCUAACAUGUUUGCUUGUGGCAUGGUUGACAUUGCUUGUUCAAAUCUUCUUCAUUCACGCUGCAGAUUGUAGUCAACAUAAUGGGCUGUAUCGAUCUUCAGAAAAUAUCAAUCAGCAGAUACUGUUUGAUAUUGAUCCUUUUGGUCAGCAUCUUGGUAUAGGCAGUGAGGUUUGCAAAGCCCUAAGUUUCGAAACAACAGUCUCUCUCUCUCUCUCACGGAGGCGAGCGACGAGCGGCAAAUUUUGGUUUGGACGAGCAACCAGCAGGACCAUGAUUCUCGACAAGGGUCAGCUUCUCGAGACCGAGCAAAUGUUUUGCGACGCUGGUGAGCAGUGGCCUGUUAUUAUCCCUGAGGAGGAGAUCCGCCAAGCAGCCCCUGGUACUAAGUGUCAUCUCUUCAGCAGUUUAUCUUCAACUUCUGAGAUUUACUUAAGUUCAAUUUUGAUCUUUCUAGAGAAGCCGACUCUAGCAGCUCCAGAUUUUGCUUACAGGGAUAUUGUCACUAGUCAAUACCUUCACACCUUACCUCUUCUAUAAAUAUUUCCUAAUUAUCAAGUGUUUUCUCAAUCAUUCUCUUUUAUUUUUCUCUAUCUCAGAGCUUAUAGGCUUGAUGGAUGUACAGGGUUCCAUCAUGUUUUGAAACAAAACCUUCAGAAGGUCGCACUAAAAUAGAACCUGAUGUUGUCUAUGGUCAAAGGAAAGGAUAUGACCAGAUAGAUGAGUCCUAAACAUCUUUCAAGCUGACCAGUCAUUAUCUUCACCCGGAGGAGCUCCUCUCCAUCAGAUGCAGUAGUAUUAUAGGCGGCUUUGUGUCCCUGAUAACUUUUCCAGAAAAUGGAAUGCUGUUGUUCAUUGCUUAACUUUGGAGGCAAAACGAACUUCUGUAGUGGAGAUGGAUGAACUCGUGUAACAAGUUGAAUUGUACAGGACUAGUUGGCACUUGUUACAUUUUUUCAAGGAUUAUAUAUUUUUGGAUAGAUGUGUAUGAAAAAUAUUUGGGUAGACUAGUAAUUAUAUUUUUAGAUUGAUGCGCAUGGAUAAAAAUUUAAAACAUAAUAACAAGUACUUGUUAUGUUUUAAAUUUUUAUACUAGAUGGAUGUGAAUCAAAAUUUUAAUUGGAGAAAUAUGUACUUUGGAAUUAUUUGUGGAUGAAAAUUUAUAAUAAUUGCCGACUUUUAUUAAACA
Camellia sinensis is the source of this 1507-nucleotide non-coding RNA. The record is from RefSeq and is a predicted model, not a curated record. NCBI's taxonomy places the organism in Eukaryota, Viridiplantae, Streptophyta, Magnoliopsida, Ericales, Theaceae.